Molecule: ribosomal RNA, 289 nt
Filed under: uncultured bacterium
Lineage: Bacteria
Description: partial 16S ribosomal RNA
Rfam family: Bacterial small subunit ribosomal RNA
Source: RNAcentral
AUGAACGCUGGCGGCGUGGAUAAGGCAUGCAAGUCGAACGGUUUUCUUUAUUGAAGAAGAUGCGAUUACAUCAAAUUAACAGAUAUUUUGAAAACAGUGGCGAACGAGCUAGUAACACCUUGGUACGUACCCGAAAGUUUGGUAUAGCUCGCCUAAAGGCGGGGUAAUCCCAAAUAGUCCCUUCAUCUAUCGGAUGAUAGGGUAAAGUAGCAAUACGCUUUCGGAUCGGCCUAGGUCCGAUCAGUUAGUUGGUGAGGUAAUGGCUCACCAAGACAAUGACCGGUAGGGG